This 292-nucleotide ribosomal RNA is filed under the name uncultured bacterium. RNAcentral describes it as "partial 16S ribosomal RNA". The record is from RNAcentral. RNAcentral also lists the same sequence under 2 other names.
GGACUACACGGGUAUCUAAUCCCGUUCGCUACCCUAGCUUUCGUGCAUCAGCGUCAGAAGAGAUCCAGUGAGCCGCUUUCGCCACCGGUGUUCCUUAGGAUAUCAACGCAUUUCACCGCUCCACCCUAAGUUCCGCUCACCUCUAUCUCCCUCGAGCACGGUAGUUUUGGGCGCCGUUCCUCGGUUAAGCCGAGGGAUUUCACACCCAACUUUCCGCGCCGCCUACGCACCCUUUAAGCCCAGUGAUUCCGAAUAACGUUCGGACGGUUCGUCUUACCGCGGCGGCUGGCAC